CUCCUGUUAGCUCAGUUGGUAGAGCAUCUGGCUUUUAACCAGUGGGUCAAAGGUUCAAGUCCUUUACAGGAGACCA
Molecule: transfer RNA, 76 nt
Filed under: Spiroplasma sp. TU-14
Lineage: Bacteria; Bacillati; Mycoplasmatota; Mollicutes; Entomoplasmatales; Spiroplasmataceae
Also listed under: 3 other names
Description: tRNA-Lys
Rfam family: tRNA
About the family: Transfer RNA (tRNA) molecules are approximately 80 nucleotides in length. Their secondary structure includes four short double-helical elements and three loops (D, anti-codon, and T loops).
Source: RNAcentral